AGAGUUUGAUCCUGGCUCAGAACGAACGCUGGCGGCGCGCUAAUACAUGCAAGUCGAACGAGAAUGUGUAGCAAUACACAUGUACAGUGGCGAACGGGUGAGGAAUACAUAGGUAACCUACCCUCGAGUGGGGAAUAACUAGCCGAAAGGUUAGCUAAUACCGCGUACGCUCCCUGGACUGCGGUUCAGGGAGGAAAGCGAUACCGUGGGUAUCGCGCUCUUGGAUGGGCUUAUGUCCUAUCAGCUUGUUGGUGAGGUAAUGGCUCACCAAGGCUUCGACGGGUAGCUGGUCUGAGAGGACGAUCAGCCACACUGGCACUGCGACACGGGCCAGACUCCUACGGGAGGCAGCAGUAAGGAAUAUUGCGCAAUGGGCGACAGCCUGACGCAGCGACGCCGCGUGGGGGACGAAGGUCUUCGGAUUGUAAACCCCUUUCGGGAGGGAAGAUGGGACGGGUAACCGUCCGGACGGUACCUCCAGAAGCAGCCACGGCUAACUUCGUGCCAGCAGCCGCGGUAAUACGAAGGUGGCAAGCGUUGUUCGGAUUUACUGGGCGUACAGGGAGCGUAGGCGGUUCGGUAAGCCCUCUGUGAAAUCUCCAGGCUUAACCUGGAACAGUCGGAGGGGACUGCUGAGCUAGAGGAUGGGAGAGGAGCGCGGAAUUCCCGGUGUAGCGGUGAAAUGCGUAGAGAUCGGGAGGAAGGCCGGUGGCGAAGGCGGCGCUCUGGAACAUUUCUGACGCUGAGGCUCGAAAGCGUGGGGAGCAAACAGGAUUAGAUACCCUGGUAGUCCACGCCUUAAACGAUGGAUACUAAGUGUCGGCGGGUUACCGCCGG
This 837-nucleotide ribosomal RNA is filed under the name uncultured bacterium. Its description in RNAcentral is "bacterial SSU rRNA". It matches the Rfam family "Bacterial small subunit ribosomal RNA", at positions 8 to 843 of the family's 1533-position model. The record is from RNAcentral.